GACGAACGCUGGCGGCGUGCCUAAUACAUGCAAGUAGAACGCUGAAGGAGGAGCUUGCUCUUCUGGAUGAGUUGCGAACGGGUGAGUAACGCGUAGGUAACCUGCCUGGUAGCGGGGGAUAACUAUUGGAAACGAUAGCUAAUACCGCAUAACAGUAGAUGUUGCAUGACAUUUGCUUAAAAGGUGCAAUUGCACCACUACCAGAUGGACCUGCGUUGUAUUAGCUAGUUGGUGGGGUAACGGCUCACCAAGGCGACGAUACAUAGCCGACCUGAGAGGGUGAUCGGCCACACUGGGACUGAGACACGGCCCAGACUCCUACGGGAGGCAGCAGUUGGGAAUCUUCGGCAAUGGACGGAAGUCUGACCGAGCAACGCCGCGUGAGUGAAGAAGGUUUUCGGAUCGUAAAGCUCUGUUGUAAGAGAAGAACGAGUGUGAGAGUGGAAAGUUCACACUGUGACGGUAUCUUACCAGAAAGGGACGGCUAACUACGUG
This 495-nucleotide ribosomal RNA is filed under the name uncultured bacterium. RNAcentral's name for it is "partial 16S ribosomal RNA". It matches the Rfam family "Bacterial small subunit ribosomal RNA", at positions 28 to 507 of the family's 1533-position model. The record is from RNAcentral.